UUAUAGGGAAAUGCCAUCAGGAAUUCCUACUUUCAAUUAUCCGCUUAAGCUCUCCCUCCCUUAUCUCAAAUUCCUUUGUCGGAAACCGCCACUCCGCCGUGCCAGAGGCAGAGUUAAGCCAAAACGCAAAUAACUGCCACCAAAAUGAUCCUUGCUUUAUCCUCUCUUCUAUUAUCUUGCCAAACUUUCCUUAUAUCCACCAAAAUAAUCAACUAAAAUCAAGAACCCUAAGCUAUGAAAAGUGAAAUUAAAUGGUUGGAGCUUCAAUCUGAACCCACACCUUAGGGGUUUGGUUCAGGUUACGCAGGGCUACAUUGCGGGUAAAGGAAUUUGGAGCAAAGGGAAAGGAAAGGAAAAUCAAAUGCCGACCUACGAGACCAUGGCUUAUCCCGAAAUUUGUUGCAACAAAGAAGAUGAAGUCGAAGCAAGAACACAAAAGGCUCUACUGAGGUUGGUAGAAUUGAGAAAAUUCCGCAGAAUGUUCUGUCGUUGAUGAUUGGAGGUGGUUAUGAUUAUGAACAAUAAUGGUUGUGAUUCUGCAUUGAGGAGAGUGAAUGAUUAUGUGUUUGUAAAUUGUGAUUUUCCUCCCCUUGGAUAGUGAUGAUGAGAAGCUAUAUAAUGAGUGUCCUCUAACCGUUUCAAGCAAGCUAUGGGGCAGGGGUAGUUAACCGUUAGGGCAGAAUUAGAUGGUUAGUAAUUGAAGAGGAAAGUUAGUUAGAAGUUAACUGACAAUAUUAGUGUUUUUGUUAAUGUUAGUUGAAUGGAGGUUAGAGUUUGGAAUUCAAUUACCUGUUAGAAUGGAACUGAAGUUAGUUAACUAUGAUGAAAGUUAGUUGUUAGUGAAAUCGGUUUUAAGUUAAUAAGUUUUGUCAUUAGGUUGAUUAAAUUAGAAGUAUUAUGGUGAAAGAUGAAAUCAAGUUAGAAUUAAAAUCAAUUAAUUAUGAAGCGUGGAGAUGUUUGUUUGUUGUGUUAAUUAACUGAAAUUUCACUCUGGACUCAAUUUGGAAUUUCACUAUUUUUUGUGUUUUGUUUAUCUGCAGUUGAACAUGAUUAUGUUUCUAACAACCACUAUCGAGAUACCAUAGAUUUGAAGUGGUCUUCAAACAUACCUACAAAACAAAUUAUGUUUUGUUAGGUAUCCAAUAUGCCUUGGGUCCUUCAUAAUUAGUAUCUUUCUUAACCCACACAUAAUGCUCACUUGCCAUACUAAAGUUUCUAACAUAGCAGACAUUAGGUGUAUGGCCAUUUAUACCACAAUAAAAUCAUGUAGGCACAAAAGUACUUCUAUACCUAGGAACAUAUGAUUUAUUUUUAGGAAAUCUCUUCUUAGGAUGUUGAUGAAGUUUUUAUGCUCUAUUCAAUUUUUCCUUGUUGGAUUGGUCACUUGCCUUAACAAAGAUGGUUUCAUUAGUACUUGGUUUGUUGAACUUAGAAUGACCAAGACCGCUUUUAUCAUUUGAAUAUCUUUGUUGACUAAGAACAUUUUCCAAUCUAACUUGUCCUUUUUCAUAUCUUUCAAGAACUCUUUUUAAUUGAACAAUUUGGCAAGUAAGUGAAUCACAAUUUUUGCAUGUAAGAUCUUACUUUUCUUUUUCAAGAAAGUUUUAUUUUUCAACUUCAAAAUUCUUUUCCAUGGUGUCAAUCUUUUCUUCAAGAGAUAAGAUUUGUUUCUUUUGUGGUGACAGCGUUUUAUACAAAAUCUUACAUUCAUUAAGAAGUUCAUAAAUAGCACCUUGGGUAUCAUUAUGAGAAUAUGUUUCAUUACUAACCUCUUCUUCGUCAUCAUCAGAAUGACAUGCAGCCAUCAAUGCAAGAUUAACACAUUCUUCAUUUUCGGAAUCGGAAGAUGAACUCACUUCAUUAUCUUCCCAUGCAAUGUAGACUCUUUUAGAUUUUUACUCAUUUCUUUUGUUGAGUUUUGGACAAUUCGUCUUUAUAUGUCCAUGCUUUCCACAUUCAUAGCAAGUGAUGUUUUGAGUAGACAUAGAUGUUUCCUUCUUGUUAAAAUAUUUCUUCUUUCUUGCAAAGUUAGACUUUUCAUUAGUACCAAAAUAUUUACCUAACCUUUUUACAAUAAGCAUGAAGUUAUCGUCUUCCUCCGGGUUGUCUUCUUUUUUAACUUCUUUUGAAUCAACUUUUAAGAUAAUGCUUUUGGAUUUCUUGUCUAGAUUCUCAUGUUUUUUAAGUCUACCAAGUUCCGCCUCAUAUUGUUGGAGUUUACCAAACAAUGUUGCGGACGUCAUCGUUGAUAGAUUUUUCUUUUCGGAUAUCACUGUCACUUUCAGUUGUCAUUCCCUAGUUAAAGAUCUGAGUAUUUUAAGAUUAAGUUCAUUUUUAGUUAAAGUCUUACCGUGUAUUUUCAAGUGAUUCGUCAAAUGCACAAAUCUUUUCUGCAAGUCGAGAAUUUAUUCUCCGGGCUGCAUUCAGAAUAAUUUGUAUUCUUGAUUUAACGUAUUCAAUCUUGAUCUUUUAGCUUAUGCGGUUCCUUCAUGUGUUUCAACCAAAAUAUCUCAUAUUUCUUUUGCCUAUGUACAUGUUGAAAUGCGAAAGAACUCAUUCAUGCCAAGAGCACCUUGAAGAAGAUUUAUUGUUUUCUUGUCAUAAAGAACCUUGUUCUCAUCAUCUUCAUCCCAUGAUGCUUCACGCUUAGAAAUGCCAAUGCCAUUAACAACUGUAGUAGGAACGAAAUGACCUUAUAGGAUAACUUUCCAAACAUAUUUUCCUUGAGACUCUAGAUGCGCCUUCAUGUGUAUUUUCUAAAAAUUGAAAUAUUCUCCAUAAAAUAGUGGGGGAUUGUUAUUGCUGCCACCGUCUCCAAAAAUAGGAUUUUAGUUUGCGGAAGCCAUUUGGAUCUUUUAGGAGUAGGUUACCUAUAACCUGCUCUUAUACCAAUUGUAAGUGGGGGGUGAAUUAGGACUUUAAAAAUUCUCGGACUUUUAUGAAUAUUUGUUCUUCCUUUUUUUUUGGUUAGACAAUGAAAGCGAUAAAAUGCGAAAAAUAAAGAACACCGAGAUGUAUCCUAGUUCCCUUCACAAUCCGAAGGUACGUCUAGUCCCCUUACCACAUGUAAGAGAUUUUUUAUUGUUAGCUCUUCCUACCAAGACUCUAACCAAAUUAUCAAGAACAAUCCUCUUGAAAACUAUCACCACAAGAAAAGAAAACAAUCCUCUCUUUUCUUGCACACGCACUUGUUUGCAACAAUUCUGGAAAAACAUAAGCAAUACAAAACAAACCAUCUUAUUUUCAACAAUUCUGAAAAAUAAGAUAUGGAUUACAACAAUAGUUUUUGAGUGUAAAGUUUGUAGUAUAAUUAUCACACUAAGUGAUAUAUCAAUGUACUUGAUCUUCUCUUCCAAUGACAAAAAGUCACAAACACAAAGGUGUUAAAUUGCUCAAGUAUUUUCUGAUUUGAGUGAUGUGAAAAUAUGCAAAAAAUAUCUUGAAUAAAAGUUUACAACAAGAAAUGUGAAUUCUGAAAAUUCUAAAAGUUUUGAUUGGAAGAUGUCAUUUUUGAAUUUGAAAAAUCAUGUAUUUAUAUGUGCAUAACACCUCUAAUGAAUCAUGGUAAAUGUAUGAAAAAUAUCAUGAACAAUUGUCAAGUUGAAAUGAAAUGAUUCCAUAAAGUGAUGCAUGAAGAGGUGUUAGUAAAACUAUUGAUUUUUCUAAAAUGCACAGAGGUAAAUCGACUUACAUAGUGGAUAAAUUGAUUUCCCUAUGGCAACGUUUAAAAAAUAUUUCAAAAAUUUACCGUAAGAAAUCGAUUUCCAUAAGAAGUAAAUCGAUUUACCCAAUUGAAAAAUUAAUUCUUUGCAUUUGGAAAUGUAUAGGCUUCAAUGGUAAAUCGAUUUCACUAAAGGUAAAUCGGUUUACUUAGUUAUAAACAUGAAAAAUAUAAGCCUAAGACAUUUGCCAUGCACAAGAAAAAGUUAAGCAAUGAUUGUUUGAAUACUUGAGCAUCUAAGACUUUAGUGAAGAUAAAUAUUAUCAUUAUACCUUCUUGAAAUGCAAUAACUUAAAUUCUUGAAUCAUGAUGCUUUAUCUUUGAAUAACAUCUUUGCAUUCUUGUCAUUUGGAGCUUUGUCUUCAUCGAAAUACCUUCAUCGUAGAGAAGCUUGGCUUCACAAAAGCAAUAACACCAAAGGCUCUACUGAGGGUGGUAGAAUUGAGAGGGUUCUACAGAAUGUUCUGUAUCUGAUGAUUGAAGGUGGUGAUGAACAAUAAUGGUUGUCAUUCUGUAGUGAUAAGAGUGAAUUAUUGUGUGUUUGUGAAUUGUGAUUUUCCUCCUCCUUGAAGAGUGAUGAUGAAAAGCUAUAUAAUUGGUGUCCUCUAACCGUUUCGGGCAAGCUAUGGGUUUUAGUGGUUAUUUGAUAUCUGUCCACUGUUCGGACCAUAACUUGAGCUACGGGAUGCCCUUUUGCAAGUUCUGACAUGCGUUGGAAAGCUAAGAGAAAGAGCUACAACUUUUAUGUUGAAGUCAAAAGCUGAUUCGGAGUGAAGUUUCGUACAUAGGAAAUAUUUUCUUUUAUAUAAUUGUUCAAUUAAUUCGUUGAAGUUUCGUACUUUAGGAAAUAUUUUCUUUUUGGCCAUUUGUUGGGCCGAAUUUAGGUUUUCUGGCCCAGUUUGAAUUAUUAGUGAAACUCUUAUUCUGUUUAAAAGGGCAGCCGCUGUACUGUAGAAAAAGACACAUUAUUCAUAAUAACUUUUUGCUUUUGUGCGAUCAUGAAGAGGAAUUAAUCUCCUAGAGUCAAUCUGCUGUAACCGAAUUUCCAAGGCUUUGAGGUUUUUAUUCUAUCAAUUUAAUUUCGUUCUCUUUCAA
Molecule: long non-coding RNA, 4816 nt
Organism: Lathyrus oleraceus (garden pea)
Lineage: Eukaryota; Viridiplantae; Streptophyta; Magnoliopsida; Fabales; Fabaceae
Exons: 4
Source: RefSeq, a predicted model, not a curated record